Molecule: ribosomal RNA, 496 nt
Filed under: uncultured bacterium
Lineage: Bacteria
Description: partial 16S ribosomal RNA
Rfam family: Bacterial small subunit ribosomal RNA
Source: RNAcentral
GAUGAACGCUGGCGGCGUGCCUAAUACAUGCAAGUCGAGCGAACGGACGAGAAGCUUGCUUCUCUGAUGUUAGCGGCGGACGGGUGAGUAACACGUGGAUAACCUACCUAUCAGACUGGGAUAACUUCGGGAAACCGGAGCUAAUACCGGAUAAUAUUUUGAACCGCAUGGUUCAAAAGUGAAUGACGGUCUUUCUGUAACUUAUAGAUGGAUCCGCGCUGCAUUAGCUAGUUGGUAAGGUAACAGCUUACCAAGGCAACGAUGCAUAGCCGACCUGAGAGGGGGUUCGGCCACUCAGGAAGUGACACGCGACACAGACGCCUAGGGGAGGCAGCAGCAGGGAAUGGACCGAACAGGGCGAAAGCCUGACGGAGGAACGGAGCGUGAGUGAUGCAGGGCUGCGGGUCGUAAAACUGUGUUAUUAGGGAAGAACAUAUGUGUAAGUAACGGUGCACAUCUGGACGGUACCUAAACAGAAAGCCGCGGCGAACUACGU